RNAcentral lists this transfer RNA (73 nucleotides) under Canis lupus familiaris (dog). It matches the Rfam family "tRNA". From Rfam's summary of the family: Transfer RNA (tRNA) molecules are approximately 80 nucleotides in length. Their secondary structure includes four short double-helical elements and three loops (D, anti-codon, and T loops). Lineage: Eukaryota; Metazoa; Chordata; Mammalia; Carnivora; Canidae. The record is from Rfam by way of RNAcentral. RNAcentral also lists the same sequence under 1 other name.
ACCUGGCUGGCUUAGUGUGUAGAGCAUGCAACUUUUGAUCACGGGGUUGUGGAUUUGAGUCCCAUGUUGGGUG